AGAGUUUGAUCAUGGCUCAGGAUGAACGCUAGCUACAGGCUUAACACAUGCAAGUCGAGGGGUAACAUUGGCGGAGCUUGCUCUGCCAGAUGACGACCGGCGCACGGGUGAGUAACGCGUAUCCAACCUGCCCAUGGGUCAGGGAUAAACUCCCGAAAGGGAGCCUAAUACCUGAUGUUGUGAGAAGAAGGCCUCUGAUUUUUACGAAAGACUUCGGUCGCCGAUGGAUGGGGAUGCGUACGAUUGGGCAGCAGGCGGGGUAACGGCCCACCUGGCCAACGAUCGUUAGGGGUUCUGAGAGGAAGGUCCCCCACACUGGUACUGAGACACGGACCAGACUCCUACGGGAGGCAGCAGUGAGGAAUAUUGGUCAAUGGGCGGAAGCCUGAACCAGCCAAGUAGCGUGCAGGAUGACUGCCCUAUGGGUUGUAAACUGCUUUUAUGCGGGGAUAAAGUGGGCCACGCGUGGCUUAUUGCAGGUACCGCAUGAAUAAGGACCGGCUAAUUCCGUGCCAGCAGCCGCGGUAAUACGGAAGGUCCGGGCGUUAUCCGGAUUUAUUGGGUUUAAAGGGAGCGUAGGCGGGCUGUUAAGCGUGUCGUGAAAAGCAUCGGCUCAACCGGUGUCGUGCGGCGCGGACUGGCGGUCUUGAGUGGGUAGAAAGCCGGCGGAAUUCGUGGUGUAGCGGUGAAAUGCUUAGAUAUCACGAAGAACUCCGAUUGCGAAGGCAGCUGGCUGUAUCCUUACUGACGCUAAAGCUCGAAAGCGCGGGUAUCGAACAGGAUUAGAUACCCUGGUAGUCCGCGCGGUAAACGAUGGAUGCUCGUUGUGCGGCCAUUAUGGUUGCGCGACCAAGCGAAAGCGUUAAGCAUCCCACCUGGGGAGUACGCCGGCAACGGUGAAACUCAAAGGAAUUGACGGGGGCCCGCACAAGCGGAGGAACAUGUGGUUUAAUUCGAUGAUACGCGAGGAACCUUACCCGGGCUUGAACUGCAGAGGAAAGAUCCAGAGAUGGUGAUGCCCUUCGGGGCCUCUGCGGAGGUGCUGCAUGGUUGUCGUCAGCUCGUGCCGUGAGGUGUCGGCUUAAGUGCCAUAACGAGCGCAACCCUUCUCCGAAGUUGCCAUCAGGUUAUGCUGGGCACUCUUCGGACACUGCCACCGCAAGGUGUGAGGAAGGUGGGGAUGACGUCAAAUCAGCACGGCCCUUACGUCCGGGGCUACACACGUGUUACAAUGGCGCGUACAGAGCGCAGGCCGGCGGCGACGCCGGUCCAAUCCUCAAAACGCGUCUCAGUUCGGAUUGGGGUCUGCAACCCGACCCCAUGAAGCUGGAUUCGCUAGUAAUCGCGCAUCAGCCAUGGCGCGGUGAAUACGUUCCCGGGCCUUGUACACACCGCCCGUCAAGCCAUGAAAGCCGGGGGUGCCUGAAGUCCGUGACCGCGAGGGUCGGCCUAGGGCAAAACUGGUGAUUGGGGCUAAGUCGUAACAAGGUAGCCGUACCGGAAGGUGCGGCUGGAACACCUCCUU
RNAcentral lists this ribosomal RNA (1525 nucleotides) under uncultured bacterium. Its description in RNAcentral is "bacterial SSU rRNA". It matches the Rfam family "Bacterial small subunit ribosomal RNA". The record is from RNAcentral.